AACGCGAAGAACCUUACCUAGACUUGACAUCUCCUGAAUUACCCUUAAUCGGGGAAGCCCUUCGGGGCAGGAAGACAGGUGGUGCAUGGUUGUCGUCAGCUCGUGUCGUGAGAUGUUGGGUUAAGUCCCGCAACGAGCGCAACCCUUAUUGUUAGUUGCUACCACUUAGUUGAGCACUCUAGCGAGACUGCCCGGGUUAACCGGGAGGAAGGUGGGGAUGACGUCAAAUCAUCAUGCCCCUUAUGUCUAGGGCUACACACGUGCUACAAUGGCUGGUACAGAGAGAUGCUAAACCGUGAGGUGGAGCCAAACUUUAAAACCAGUCUCAGUUCGGAUUGUAGGCUGAAACUCGCCUACAUGAAGCUGGAGUUGCUAGUAAUCGCGAAUCAGAAUGUCGCGGUGAAUACGUUCCCGGGCCUUGUACACACCG
This 430-nucleotide ribosomal RNA is filed under the name uncultured bacterium. Its description in RNAcentral is "bacterial SSU rRNA". It matches the Rfam family "Bacterial small subunit ribosomal RNA", at positions 958 to 1392 of the family's 1533-position model. The record is from RNAcentral.